Molecule: long non-coding RNA, 546 nt
Filed under: Astyanax mexicanus (Mexican tetra)
Lineage: Eukaryota; Metazoa; Chordata; Actinopteri; Characiformes; Acestrorhamphidae
Description: lncRNA (ENSAMXG00005002106.1)
Source: RNAcentral
ACCACAGCGCCCCCCACAGCAACCACCACAGCGCCCCCCACAGCAACCACCACAGCAACCCUCACAGUGGCCACCACAGCAACCACCACUCUACAGAACACUACUACAGCUCAGAGUCUGCUGGGAACUGUGCUGAUUUAUAUUCGGCUGGUCUUUAAGAACGUGACCACUGUUCCCAGCGAGGCAGACAUCCUUACUGCUGCCAAUUACCUGCUGGACUCCAGCGUCCGAAUGAGGAGAAACGUCCAAAUGCUGAAACUCAACAACCCAGUGAGCAUCCAGAACAUCACCUAUCAGAAAAUGGGUAAGAACUCCUACAGUAUCAGCUUCGGGUUUAAGAUCAGUAAUGUAAACAUUUCACCAAAUCCUGAGAUGAGGAAUGAAACGUAUACUGCCAUUCAGAACACAGUUAACGGCCUGGUGAGCAGAAACUUCUGAAUCACUUAAAUUCAAGUUUCAUUAUUUAAUAUCAUUUUAAUCGUCACAGAUUUAUAUUUAAUGUUUUUCUCUUUCAGCUGAAUAAAAUAUUAAAUUCUAAAAAUGCCA